UAGAGGAAGUAAAAGUCGUAACAAGGUUUCCGUAGGUGAACCUGCGGAAGGAUCAUUAGCGAAAUCUUUUGUCAAGAAGGGCUGUAGCUGGCCUCCUCCAGGGGUGGCAUGUGCACGCCUGGAUUGCAAAUCUCCACACACCUGUGCACAUCCCCUCGUAGCUGCUGUGAUGCUGAUGAUACGGAUGUUUCCGAUUCUGACGCGCCCCUUGGCUGCGAGCUGGCUUAUCAUAUACACUUUUCCAAGUAUUAGAAUGUAACUGCAGUAGCGUGUAAAAGCGCGAAAUGAACAACUUUCAGCAACGGAUCUCUUGGCUCUCGCAUCGAUGAAGAACGCAGCGAAAUGCGUUAAGUAAUGUGAAUUGCAGAAUUCAGUGAAUCAUCGAAUCUUUGAACGCACCUUGCGCUCCUUGGUAUUCCGAGGAGCAUGCCUGUUUGAGUGUCAUGGAAUUCUCAACUGCCUUUAUGGUGAAGUUGGAUUUGGAGGAUGGUUUUGCUGGCGCUCUUCUGUGAGCUUUGUCGGCUCCUCUUGAAUGCAUAGGCCUUUCUGUGCAACAUCGUGAAGCGGCUCUGAUGUGAUAAUUAUCUGCGUCGGGCGUCGUUGUUCGCUUUGAGUAUGGAAAUGGAUCGCGAUCGCAGUUAAAUGCGUGUUUGACCAAUYCGACCUCAAAUCAGGUAGGACUACCCGCUGAACUUAAGCAUAUCAAUA
This 708-nucleotide ribosomal RNA is filed under the name Phellodon confluens. RNAcentral describes it as "eukaryotic LSU rRNA". The stretch from base 291 to 444 matches the Rfam family "5.8S ribosomal RNA". The record is from RNAcentral. Lineage: Eukaryota; Fungi; Basidiomycota; Agaricomycetes; Thelephorales; Thelephoraceae.